RNAcentral lists this ribosomal RNA (449 nucleotides) under uncultured bacterium. Its description in RNAcentral is "partial 16S ribosomal RNA". It matches the Rfam family "Bacterial small subunit ribosomal RNA", at positions 354 to 796 of the family's 1533-position model. The record is from RNAcentral.
GUCGAGAAUCUUUCACAAUGGGGGCAACCCUGAUGGAGCGACGCCGCGUGGAGGAUAAGGUCUUCGGAUUGUAAACUCCUGUCAUGCGUGAACAAGGUUGCUUGGUUAAUACCUGGGCAAAUUGAUGGUAACGCAAGAGGAAGAGACGGCUAACUCUGUGCCAGCAGCCGCGGUAAUACAGAGGUCUCAAGCGUUGUUCGGAAUCACUGGGCGUAAAGGGUGCGUAGGUGGCGUGGUAAGUCAGAUGUGAAAGCCCGGGGCUCAACCUCGGGACUGCAUCCGAUACUGCCAUGCUAGAGUACUGGAGAGGUGACUAGAAUUCUCGGUGUAGCAGUGAAAUGCGUAGAUAUCGAGAGGAAUACCAAAGGCGUAGGCAGGUCACUGGACAGUUACUGACACUGAGGCACGAAGGCCAGGGGAGCGAACGGGAUUAGAAACCCCGGUAGUCC